Molecule: ribosomal RNA, 402 nt
Filed under: uncultured bacterium
Lineage: Bacteria
Description: bacterial SSU rRNA
Rfam family: Bacterial small subunit ribosomal RNA
Source: RNAcentral
UCGGGAAUUUUGGGCAAUGGGCGAAAGCCUGACCCAGCAACGCCGCGUGAGGGAUGAAGUAUUUCGGUAUGUAAACCUCGAAAGAAUGGGAAGAAUAAAUGACGGUACCAUUUAUAAGCUCCGGCUAACUACGUGCCAGCAGCCGCGGUAAUACGUAGGGAGCAAGCGUUGUUCGGAUUUACUGGGCGUACAGGGCGCGUAGGCGGCGCGGUAAGUCACUUGUGAAAUCUCUGAGCUUAACUCAGAACGGCCAAGUGAUACUGCUGUGCUAGAGUGCGGAAGAGGCAACCGGAAUUCUUGGUGUAGCGGUGAAAUGCGUAGAUAUCAAGAGGAACACCUGAGGCGAAGGCGGGUUGCUGGGCCGACACUGACGCUGAUGCGCGAAAGCCAGGGGAGCAAACG